GGCCACGUGGCCGAGCGGUCAGGCACAGGUCUGCAAAACCUUUUACGGCAGUUCGAUCCUGCCCAUGGCCU
Molecule: transfer RNA, 71 nt
Filed under: Bacteroidota bacterium
Lineage: Bacteria; Pseudomonadati; Bacteroidota
Description: Bacteroidetes bacterium (groundwater metagenome) tRNA-Cys
Rfam family: tRNA
About the family: Transfer RNA (tRNA) molecules are approximately 80 nucleotides in length. Their secondary structure includes four short double-helical elements and three loops (D, anti-codon, and T loops).
Source: RNAcentral